Molecule: ribosomal RNA, 253 nt
Filed under: uncultured bacterium
Lineage: Bacteria
Description: partial 16S ribosomal RNA
Rfam family: Bacterial small subunit ribosomal RNA
Source: RNAcentral
UACGUAGGGGGCAAGCGUUGUCCGGAUUUAUUGGGCGUAAAGAGCGUGUAGGCGGUUUGGUAGGUCCGCUGUGAAAACUCGAGGCUCAACCUCGAGACGCCGGUGGAAACCAUCAGACUAGAGUCCGGAAGAGGCGAGUGGAAUUCCUGGUGUAGCGGUGAAAUGCGCAGAUAUCAGGAGGAACACCAAUGGCGAAGGCAGCUCGCUGGGACGGUACUGACGCUGAGACGCGAAAGCGUGGGGAGCAAACAGG